This 324-nucleotide long non-coding RNA is filed under the name Brassica napus (rape). RNAcentral's name for it is "long non-coding RNA (BNAP_LNC022092)". The record is from RNAcentral. Lineage: Eukaryota; Viridiplantae; Streptophyta; Magnoliopsida; Brassicales; Brassicaceae.
ACAGCAAGCCACAUAGCCAUUGCUUUUGUUACCAAAGAUGAAUUAGUAGGUUUUAUUGCAGAGCUUCCGUAAACUCGAAUAUAGUGCCUUCUUUGCUAGAGAAGCCCUACCUUAUUCCAGUCUUUUCGGUUGGCAGUUUCCAUGAAGCAUUCUGAUAAGAACUGAAAUGUUUAUUGAUGAAUAUCCAUCCAACCGUCCCCUCUUGAUCUUCACAUGCGAAGAAUCAAGCUUCACAAUGUACUUCUACAAUUGCUUAAAACUAACAAAUGUAUUAUGAGUCCUUUAUAUACUCAUGCUUAUUUACAAAAUAUCUAGUCUAUCAAA